RNAcentral lists this long non-coding RNA (308 nucleotides) under Trifolium pratense (red clover). Its description in RNAcentral is "long non-coding RNA (TPRA_LNC004868)". Lineage: Eukaryota; Viridiplantae; Streptophyta; Magnoliopsida; Fabales; Fabaceae. The record is from RNAcentral.
AACUGAUAAUGAUUAUUUAUAAAUCAUUUGCCAAUAUUAAAAGGAUAAAAAAAAAAGAAUGAGAAUACCAAUUGCUUGUUGAAUCAAACCAUUACAUGACAAGAUGCCAUAGUUGCUGUUAAGCUCGGCUUCUUCCCUCACAAUAUUAGCCAUCGAUUUUAGAACCAACCAUCUCUGUAAACACUAUCAGUGUUGUUGUAAAACUAAUUCAAGUGCUCUAAUAGCAUGUGCGUGUAUUUGAGACCAGAUUCUCAACAACACCGUUUUUUCUUUAUAUUUAGGGUUAGUUUCUAAAAACUAAUUAACAC